AAGUCGUAACAAGGUUUCCGUAGGUGAACCUGCGGAAGGAUCAUUAACACAAAAAACAAUCCCAUAUCCACCCCUUUUUUAUAACGAACUAUGGUUUUUCUUUUUUUCGGAUUCGGACCUCUCUCUACUUAUCGCCAAGAUAAGGACAGAGACGACGGGACGGAAAAAGAAACUCUCAUUUUCUCCUCUUUAUUACCCUCUUAUUUUUACCCCAAAACAACCAAUACCAAACAUGCGAUAGACUGAUAUUUAUUUAUCAACGAUAUAAUAAUCAAUGAUACAUAAAACAACUCUUAGCAACGGAUAUCUUGGCUCUC
RNAcentral lists this unclassified non-coding RNA (317 nucleotides) under fungal sp. RNAcentral describes it as "partial internal transcribed spacer region". The stretch from base 1 to 46 matches the Rfam family "Eukaryotic small subunit ribosomal RNA", at positions 1786 to 1831 of the family's 1831-position model. Lineage: Eukaryota; Fungi. The record is from RNAcentral.